RNA transcript from Diachasmimorpha longicaudata, 2168 nucleotides. It is a transcript of the gene named tetraspanin-13, with no coding region annotated. The transcript has 8 exons. The record is from RefSeq and is a predicted model, not a curated record. Lineage: Eukaryota; Metazoa; Arthropoda; Insecta; Hymenoptera; Braconidae.
CUUCUGCGUUACAAUCGGCUUGAGGGAGGGAGUGGCAGGGGGGAGAUGUCAGCUGAGGCGCUUGGAAGUACACCACCGCGAAAAGGUCGAGCACGAUUGGCCUCCAUGUUGAAACUCGCUGAUAUAAACUUUUCUCUCAAUCAUUGAAUUGUGCUUCCAGUGGUGGUGGAUGAAAGAGAGUGAGGGACUUGAUGUUACAUUAGAUGACUAUCUGAACAGUUUGGCAAGAGGAAACGUUCAUUAAGUACUGGGAUAAAGUGAGAUUGGUAAAAUGUGUGGCAGUUUCACGUGCUCCAAAAAUGCUCUGACAGCAUUAAAUAUUCUUUACAUUGUUGUAGCAUUUAUCUUGAUUGGCGUUGCUGUCUAUGGAAGGGCAUCAGCCCUUGUGACUAAUCUUCCCAUCAUCGGGGGAAUUCUUGCCUGCGGAGUUAUUCUAAUUCUCAUAUCAAUACUGGGACUCAUUGGAGCGGUCAAGCAUCAUCAAGUGCUUCUUUUUUUUUAUAUGCUCAUUCUCUUCCUAUUGUUCCUGGUUCAGUUCAGCAUCGCCUGUGCAUGUCUUGCUGUUAAUACUAAGCAACAGGAGGAAUUGGCGGAGCAGGGAUGGAAACGCGUUGGUCCCCACAUCAAAGAGCAAGUCCAGACAACAUUCACGUGCUGUGGAUUCAACAGUUCGAUGGGAGCAAUCGAUGAUCCCGCUAUGAUCAACCCUUCAUGUGACGUCGUAAACAAAAUGUGCUGUCCAGAUCCUAGUCUCGAUCCAGACUGUUCGUGCAAACCCUGCAUGGAAAAACUUCAAUCGACGAUCGAUUACGCAUUUAAACUCUGUGGAGGCAUUGGUUUGUUCUUCAGCUUCACUGAGUUUGUUGGUGUGUGGUUGACGGUGCGCUACAGGAACCAGAAAGAUCCGAGAGCUAAUCCUAGUGCUUUUCUCUAGUCUAAUAUCUCCAUGACCCCUGUCACCUUGCACGACUCGCUAACUAGAUGGUAAUCGCUGCAUUUUUGGCGAGACGCUAUCGCAAUCAAUUGGAUCCUGAUGGAAAAGCUGCGAGAUCUUUGUUCCCCAGACUCAAUUAUGUUCAGUGAUUUCUCAUGGGGGAUAUUUGUCGUCUACCUUACAAAUACACAGAAAUCCAAAAGUGCUAAUCAAAAUUCCAAAAAAAUGAACACAUCAAUAGAUUUCGUGUGUUAUAGACACUCUAAAAAAUAUCACAUCUUAGGGAACAGGAUCAGUUUCUUUGCUUUCAUUGCAACGUACUACGGUGCAGGAUGGACACAUUUGACGUUUUUUUGAAUGCUCAUAAUUCAGUGUUGUUUUGAUGAAAUCCGACCAUGACCUACUCCAUCAAAAAUAUAUAAUUGUCAAUUUAAUGAGAUUAGACUGAGGUGUAGGACAAAUCGCGGUAAAAUGAACCCGGAUGACAUUUAUUUUUAGGUUUAUGACUCAGGAACAAAUUUAUUAGGUGAAGUGAAUUCAGUAUCAUCGUAAAGGGAAACAAUUGUCCUAUCCAUGCCCAAAAAAAUAUCCCUUUUUUCAUUGAAAGUUAAAUGAAUUGUUGAUAUAAAAACACAAGUGUCCAUUUUGCGUCAUCCUUAGUUAUCCUAUUGAUUUACAAUUUGCAAAUAUUUUGGAAAAUAUUAAUGUGUUUUUUCUCUCAUUCCUUAUCGAAGGCAUUCGUAUUUUUUGUAACCAUCGACAGUUAAUUUUCACUAAUCUUGAAAUGUGUAAAUCUUUUGGAAUGUGCUAAUAACCAGAAUGUGUGCCCUAGUCAGCCACGAAUAAUAGUUUUAGAGUCAUGAGGACAAGAACAAGAACAAUAUAAACCUUGAAGCGCCUUUCAGUGGAGCAAUCUCGAGAUUUUUUUGUGAAUUGAUUUGUUUUUGGCAUUUUUAUAAUUUUCCCUGAAUGAUUUAUGUAUCAAAGAGGCAGAUGUAUCGGUUUAUCGAGACUGAUGAAGUAUUGUUGUCAAUUAAUAUCGUUUAUUAUUUUAAUUUUUUUUCUGAUUGGGUUAAUCUACUAUAUACAAUAGUAUAAUAAAAUAGUAUCUCAACUUUUACAUGUAGACGCAGAAUUGUAAAAUAAUGUUCAGUUCAUUGUGUUGGGUGUCUAAAUUUGCUUCAACUUUCUGCAAUAAUUGAUGAUAAUAAAGAAAACUAAAAGCAGAAUACAA